Long non-coding RNA from Vanessa atalanta (red admiral), 355 nucleotides. RefSeq lists it as uncharacterized. The transcript has 2 exons. NCBI's taxonomy places the organism in Eukaryota, Metazoa, Arthropoda, Insecta, Lepidoptera, Nymphalidae. The record is from RefSeq and is a predicted model, not a curated record.
GCCCCGCGCCGCCACGCUUACCACGCCCACCACCAUGCUCACCUGGGGACAGUCACACGUCACAAACCAUGAACUACCGGGAAAUUUAACUGUGUGGGGUUCAAGGGGUUGUAUAGUUGUCAAGUUAUAUCAUCGUCAUCAUCAGCAACAGCCAAUCCAUUGCUGACCUCAUUCAAGAUGCAAUAAAGCUCUGCCGAUUCUCCGCCUUCUGCAGCGUCAGGCCAAAAUUUGUCCACGUGGCUGGAGGGCAAAAAACGUCGGUACCAGUUACAGUGAUUGUCGAAAUGACAUAAACGUAUUUUGUUUGCAUUUUACACAUGUUUACGUAUUGUAUUAAAAUACUGUCAUUACGUGA